AUUGAACGCUGGCGGCAGGCCUAACACAUGCAAGUCGAACGGUAGCACAGAGAGCUUGCUCUCGGGUGACGAGUGGCGGACGGGUGAGUAACGUCUGGGAAACUGCCCGAUGGAGGGGGAUAACUACUGGAAACGGUAGCUAAUACCGCAUAACGUCGCAAGACCAAAGUGGGGGACCUUCGGGCCUCACACCAUCGGAUGUGCCCAGAUGGGAUUAGCUAGUAGGUGGGGUAAUGGCUCACCUAGGCGACGAUCCCUAGCUGGUCUGAGAGGAUGACCAGCCACACUGGAACUGAGACACGGUCCAGACUCCUACGGGAGGCAGCAGUGGGGAAUAUUGCACAAUGGGCGCAAGCCUGAUGCAGCCAUGCCGCGUGUAUGAAGAAGGCCUUCGGGUUGUAAAGUACUUUCAGCGGGGAGGAAGGCGGCGAAGUUAAUAGCUUCACCGAUUGACGUUACCCGCAGAAGAAGCACCGGCUAGCUCCGUGCCAGCCGCCGCGGUAA
Molecule: ribosomal RNA, 504 nt
Filed under: uncultured bacterium
Lineage: Bacteria
Description: partial 16S ribosomal RNA
Rfam family: Bacterial small subunit ribosomal RNA
Source: RNAcentral